UACAACCAAACAGGUCAGGAUGAUUUAUCUGAGGUAGGAGACUACUGUUAUGUGAUCUGACACAUGAUAGGCAGAGCAUAAAGUGACUGAAAAACUCCAACCACUAAAUAUCACCAACACCCAAAUCCACCACCACCAAAGUGGUGGGUCCACAUCUUCUUUGGUACAAGUGUUUUUAGUUUCUUUAGAUGCCUAUUAGGAAUAAGAGAAUAUUAUCUUUAUAUAUUGUUGAUGCUCUAGUAUACUCAAUAAUUUUUAUUUUUAUUUUUUUCUCUGCUGGUGUUGGUCAUACUGGGCAUUUAUUUGCAACCAUAUAUAUGACUCAUAAUAUUUUCUUAUUAAGGUAAUGGUGACUAAGUUUUAUUGAAAAAUUUACCUUCCAUACGAGCAAACUAAUGUCGAAUUGCCUUCCAUUGUAAAUGGAAGUUGGUGAUAUAGCUGCUCCAAUGGCAAUCUUGUUGUUUGUUUGAACAAAGCCGGCGCAAAAGAGGUUGUAGCACCCUGUCUCUUGGUAUGCAUCAGUCUACAUGCACCAUUAAGGUAUGCAAUGUAUUAGACGUGUAAUAUAGUUUACUUAACAUACAAAAUUUUAUAUAUUUAUAUUAAUUUUAACAUGAUUUUUUUAAAAAAAAAAACUUUUUAUGUGGUUUUAAGGUUUAGAGUACUAACUGUCCAAUAUGUGAAGAACCUAGGGCAAUCAUCUCCGUAUAGUUGUGGGCUCACCUGCAAAAGGAUAAAAACAAAUUUAAUACACAAACACAUAUUAUGUGAUGGAUUUGAGUAGCUCAAUAGAACUAUGGAAAAUACUUGGAAAAAGUUAUAUUUAAUCAUUUAUCUGUAAGAGAUGGACUUUUUUUUGUUUUUCCUCUUAAUCAGAAAAAAAUGGCUUUGAGAACUCAUAAGAGAUCAUUUACUGCAAUAUAUAUUAUGGUCUACCUCUUUAUAUUGAGACAUUUCUUUUUUGACAUAAAAAUUACUCUUUGAGGGAAAAAUACAACAUCACCUUUAGUUAGAUCAACAAGAUCAAUCAAAGAAGAAAUUGAUGCCUUAGUACUACUGUUUGAACAAUAUGGAAUAAAAAAAANAUGUCGAAUUGCCUUCCAUUGUAAAUGGAAGUUGGUGAUAUAGCUGCUCCAAUGGCAAUCUUGUUGUUUGUUUGAACAAAGCCGGCGCAAAAGAGAUUGUAGCACCCUGUCUCUUGGUAUGCAUCAGUCUACAUGCAACAUUAAGG
RNAcentral lists this long non-coding RNA (1231 nucleotides) under Ananas comosus (pineapple). RNAcentral describes it as "long non-coding RNA (ACOM_LNC017289)". The record is from RNAcentral. Lineage: Eukaryota; Viridiplantae; Streptophyta; Magnoliopsida; Poales; Bromeliaceae.